UGUAGCUCAUUGGUAGAGUGCUUGCCUGGCAUGUAAGGUCCUGGGUUCAAUCCCCAGCA
RNAcentral lists this transfer RNA (59 nucleotides) under Marmota monax (woodchuck). It matches the Rfam family "tRNA", at positions 6 to 65 of the family's 71-position model. Rfam says of the family: Transfer RNA (tRNA) molecules are approximately 80 nucleotides in length. Their secondary structure includes four short double-helical elements and three loops (D, anti-codon, and T loops). RNAcentral also lists the same sequence under 2 other names. Lineage: Eukaryota; Metazoa; Chordata; Mammalia; Rodentia; Sciuridae. The record is from Rfam by way of RNAcentral.